This 540-nucleotide ribosomal RNA is filed under the name uncultured eukaryote. RNAcentral describes it as "SSU rRNA". It matches the Rfam family "Eukaryotic small subunit ribosomal RNA", at positions 21 to 549 of the family's 1831-position model. The record is from RNAcentral.
UAGUCAUAUGCUUGUCUUAAAGAUUAAGCCAUGCAUGUCUAAGUAUAAGCACUUGUACUGUGAAACUGCGAAUGGCUCAUUAUAUCAGUUAUAAUUUAUUUGAUGGUCAUUUACUUGGAUAACCGUGGUAAAUCUAGAGCUAAUACAUGCACAAAAUCCUGACUGGGAACGGAAAGGAUGUAUUUAUUAGAUACAAAAACCAAUGCAUCAGGCUCUCGGGCUUGGUGGAAAACAUGGUGAUUCAUGAUAACUUUACGAAUCGUGUGGUCUCGUACCGACGAUAGUUCAUUCAAAUUUCUGCCCUAUCAACUUUCGAUGGUAGUAUAGAGGACUAUCAUGGUGGUAACGGGUAACGGAGAAUCAGGGUUUGAUUCCGGAGAAGGAGCCUGAGAAACGGCUACUACUUCCAAGGAAGGCAGCAGGCGCGCAAAUUACCCAAUCCCGACACGGGGAGGUAGUGACAAAAAAUAACAAUACCGGUCUUAUAUAAGUCUGGUAAUUGGAAUGAGUACAAUCUAAACCCCUUAACGAGUAUCAAUU